RNAcentral lists this RNase P RNA (313 nucleotides) under Costertonia aggregata. Its description in RNAcentral is "Bacterial RNase P class A". It matches the Rfam family "Bacterial RNase P class A". Rfam says of the family: Ribonuclease P (RNase P) is a ubiquitous endoribonuclease, found in archaea, bacteria and eukarya as well as chloroplasts and mitochondria. The record is from Rfam by way of RNAcentral. Lineage: Bacteria; Pseudomonadati; Bacteroidota; Flavobacteriia; Flavobacteriales; Flavobacteriaceae.
AUAGCAGGCCAACUUAUCGCUGCCGUUUUGCGGGAGAGGAAAGUCCGGACACCAUAGUGCAGUAUAGCGGGUAACGCCCGUCCACCGAAAGGUGAGGACCAGUGCAACAGAAAGAAUGUACAGUUAGGCUGUAGUGAAACCAGGUAAACUCUAUACGGUGAAACGUCAUGUAAAUCAGUGUUUGAGGGCUGCACGCCCAAGCUGAAGGGUAGGCGGUUAGAGCCUUUGGGCAACCAAGGGCCUAGAUAAAUGAUAAGCAACCUCGGACUUGGUUCGAGGUCAAACAGAAUCCGGCUUAUGGUCUGCUUGCACA